UUUUUUUUUUUUUUUUUUUUUAUCCCUCCCCUCCCCUCGCCCCAGGUAAUUGUAAUGUGCAGCCAGGAUUGAGAAUCACCAUUCUAGAUAUUACCACUUAAUUGGGACUCUCCAGGGAGUCAUGGCUUAGUCCUCACUACUUAUGGAACUCUUGGCUGAAGCCUUUCUAAUCUCUGUCAGUCAGUCUUACCAGACAAACGUCAGCCACUCAAGAUUUGAAACAGGCGAAAGGUAACGCAGGGAACUGGUUAGCUGGAUGAAAGAACCGAAGAGCCAACAGAAGACAAUGAGGUAAUACAAACAUCAGCAACAGUAGGAAGCCACAAGUCUACCCUGGUGGCAGGAGAUCUGGACGGGGAUCCAGAGAUCAGUUGUUGGGCAGAAGCUAGGAUUUCAGUGGGUCUGUCUGGAGGGAUCUGGAAUCUGGAGGAGAUGCAUCCUUCCUGGCACUACCUCCUGAAAAGAGGGAGCAGGGAAAUAGCCUGGCUUCUCUCUGUUCUGCUCCAGGUUCCCACGAGUGUCCUUCCAUUGGCCAAACACAGUGUCAAAUCAGUUUGACAGAGGGAGGGAUUGAGUCCUCACCCAGAAAUACAGAGCAGAGUAGAGGAAGGGCAAGAACUGGAUCUCAGGUCAAAUGGGCUCAGGCCAGACCUAGGCCCAGGCCUAACAGGCCACUGGCAAGGAAUUCUGUCUACCACCCACCUCAAAAGCACUCCUCCUCCUCUUUUUCCCAAGACAUUGAACAUACUCUCAUCAUGGGUUUGUGCUUUUACCAAAAAGCAAGAUAAAACAAAAAAUAAAAGUAACCAGUGAUAGCUAAAGCAGGAAAAACUGUAGAAACAUUUGCGUUCUGGCUCUAAUAAACUGAUAAGCAAGAAACUCUCACAAAUAGAGAGACAGGUAGAAUUUGGUUUGCUUUGUGUAGGGGAGGGUAGAGGGGCACAAUGAAAUUCUAGCACCUAAGUUCUCCUCCUCCUGCCAAGACCAACCCUUGUUGUAAAGAAAUGCUUCACACUUCUCUGAAGACACUAGUAGCUACAAGCUCGUGUAGUGUGUUUAUCCUGAGUACGUGUGAACAUCUCACAAGUGGUAGAUCAUAAACUUUGAUUGGUCAUAUUUAUUGAGACUUACCAUGUGCCAAGUACUAUGCUAAACCCUUUGUGACUCUAAUUGCAAUGACUCCUGUCAACAGUCUUGUAAGUUUAGUGGAUACUAAUCUCCAGUUUACAAAUGAGGGAUUUGAGGCUCAGAGGAGUUAGGUAAUGGGAUCAAAAUUACACAGCUGGCAAGCAAUAGAGCUGUGAUUGAAACCCAGGUUGGUAAAGUCUGGAUUUUCAGAGAAAAUAAAGGCAUCUGGAAGAGAACUUGCACAAACCCUCACUAUGGAAUCCUCUAAGUACC
This 1401-nucleotide long non-coding RNA is filed under the name Sus scrofa (pig). RNAcentral's name for it is "lncRNA (ENSSSCG00015073399.1)". Lineage: Eukaryota; Metazoa; Chordata; Mammalia; Artiodactyla; Suidae. The record is from RNAcentral.